RNAcentral lists this ribosomal RNA (487 nucleotides) under uncultured Aeromicrobium sp. RNAcentral's name for it is "partial 16S ribosomal RNA". Lineage: Bacteria; Bacillati; Actinomycetota; Actinomycetes; Propionibacteriales; Nocardioidaceae. The record is from RNAcentral.
CACGUAGUUGGCCGGUCCUUCUUCUGCAGGUACCGUCACUUUCGCUUCGUCCCUGCUGAAAGAGGUUUACAACCCGAAGGCCGUCAUCCCUCACGCGGCGUUGCUGGAUCAGGCUUUCGCCCAUUGUCCAAUAUUCCCCCACUGCUGCCUCCCGUAGGAGUCUGGGCCGUGUCUCAGUCCCAGUGUGGCCGGUCACCCUCUCAGGCCGGCUACCCGUCAAUGCCUUGGUGAGCCAUUACCUCACCAACAAGCUGAUAGGCCGCGAGCUCACCCUUCUCCGCCGGAGCUUUCCACCUCAGAACAUGUGAUCCAAGGUCAUAUUCGGCAUUAGCCAUCGUUUCCAAUGGUUAUUCCGAAGAGAAGGGCAGAUUGCUCACGUGUUACUCACCCGUUCGCCGCUCGUGUACCCCCGAAAGGGCCUUACCGCUCGACUUGCAUGUGUUAAGCACGCCGCCAGCGUGUCCUGAGUCCACGGAGUCAACCGUAC